UACGUAGGGUGCGAGCGUUAAUCGGAAUUACUGGGCGUAAAGCGUGCGCAGGCGGUUUUUUAAGACAGAUGUGAAAUCCCCGGGCUUAACCUGGGAACUGCAUUUGUGACUGCAAGGCUAGAGUACGGCAGAGGGGGGUAGAAUUCCACGUGUAGCAGUGAAAUGCGUAGAGAUGUGGAGGAACACCGAUGGCGAAGGCAGCCCCCUGGGCUAACAUUGACGCUCAGGCACGAAAGCGUGGGGAGCAAACAGG
Molecule: ribosomal RNA, 253 nt
Filed under: uncultured bacterium
Lineage: Bacteria
Description: partial 16S ribosomal RNA
Rfam family: Bacterial small subunit ribosomal RNA
Source: RNAcentral